UACAGAGGGGGCAAGCGUUAUUCGGAAUUAUUGGGCGUAAAGGGCGCGUAGGCGGCAUGGCAAGUGGAAGGUGAAAUCCCUCGGCUUAACCGAGGAACUGCCCUCCAAACUACUUUGCUUGAGGCCGGGAGAGGUGAGUGGAAUUCCCAGUGUAGCGGUGAAAUGCGUAGAGAUGCGGAGGAACACCGAUGGCGAAGGCAGCCCCCUGGGUCGACACUGACGCUCAGGCACGAAAGCGUGGGGAGCAAACAGG
This 253-nucleotide ribosomal RNA is filed under the name uncultured bacterium. RNAcentral describes it as "partial 16S ribosomal RNA". It matches the Rfam family "Bacterial small subunit ribosomal RNA", at positions 524 to 776 of the family's 1533-position model. The record is from RNAcentral.